CAAGGGUGAUGAACGAAAUGU
This 21-nucleotide non-coding RNA is filed under the name Arabidopsis thaliana (thale cress). Lineage: Eukaryota; Viridiplantae; Streptophyta; Magnoliopsida; Brassicales; Brassicaceae. The record is from RNAcentral.